This 955-nucleotide long non-coding RNA is filed under the name Oryza brachyantha (malo sina). RNAcentral's name for it is "long non-coding RNA (OBRA_LNC002729)". The record is from RNAcentral. Lineage: Eukaryota; Viridiplantae; Streptophyta; Magnoliopsida; Poales; Poaceae.
GACGGCGCGGCCGCCGGCGGAGCUCACGGCCACACGAAUGGACGACGCGGCGGCCGGCGAGGUCUUAGGCAACGCGGAUGGAUGGUGCCGUGGCCGGCGAAGGUCUUCGGCGGCGAGCUCUCGGUGGCCCAUCCGCUGUUUGGUCCCUUCUCCCUUCCGUGACCCUCUCAAAAAAAUUGGUUGCUCCGACAAAAGCUGCUUGCUUUUGCAAAAAGCAUGAGGAGGCACUCGUUUCCUCUGCGGGGCACGAAGAGCUUCACGAGACGCAACCCAGUCCGAGCUAGAUGAGAAUCUCGCAUGGGGAACGAUGAGGCUACUCGCCAUAUCACCGCAUAGUGCAUGCUCGGGCCGGUAGUUAGGUUAGUUUAAGGGCUAUUGUGGCAGGAUGAAUUUCACAUGAAUUUUUGGAGGAAUUGAACUUUGUAAAAUCAUUGUGUUUCAAACAAAGCCCAUCGUGUGCAUUCUCGUUUUCAAAAAGUGUACAUACCACUACAGAUUUGAUCACCACUCACUAAAUAACCAAUCAACUAAGAUAAAACAAUGCAAAUUUAUCUAUUUUGAAAGCAUAACAAAUUCCAAAAGAAGGAUAUUUAAGUAAAUAAGACUCAAAUAAAUGUGGGACGCAUAUUUAAGUAGUGGAAAAAAUAUAUGAAGGAAUAUCAAGCCUUUAUUUAGGGCUUAUUUUAUAUGCAGUGUCUCUAAUGAUGACCCAGCUACUCACUUCCACACAACUCUCUCUUUCUCACUCGAUGAAACACACACAACGAAACACACUGAUGGAGGAAGAGAAAGCAAUACACAAGAAGAGACUAGAGAUUUUUUUGUCACUGCACACCAGCGAAACCACCAUACACUUCUCUUUCUAUUCUCCACGGGUUAAUCACACACUGAUUGCACGCUUUAAAUAGCACACACGCACAGCCGCACAGUAGCCAUGUUGGCCGCAUAACCAGCC